UGAGUAACCUGCCCUGGACUUUGGGAUAACCCUCGGAAACGGGGGCUAAUACCGGAUAUGACACGUUCUCGCAUGGGAUGUGUGUGGAAAGUUUUUUCGGUCUGGGAUGGGCUCGCGGCCUAUCAGCUUGUUGGUAGGGGUGAUGGCCUACCAAGGCGACGACGGGUAGCCGGCCUGAGAGGGCGACCGGCCACACUGGGACUGAGACACGGCCCAGACUCCUACGGGAGGCA
RNAcentral lists this ribosomal RNA (233 nucleotides) under uncultured bacterium. RNAcentral's name for it is "partial 16S ribosomal RNA". It matches the Rfam family "Bacterial small subunit ribosomal RNA", at positions 118 to 350 of the family's 1533-position model. The record is from RNAcentral.